UACGGAGGGAGCUAGCGUUAUUCGGAAUUACUGGGCGUAAAGCGCACGUAGGCGGCUUUGUAAGUAAGAGGUGAAAGCCUGGAGCUCAACUCCAGAACUGCCUUUUAGACUGCAUCGCUUGAAUCCAGGAGAGGUGAGUGGAAUUCCGAGUGUAGAGGUGAAAUUCGUAGAUAUUCGGAAGAACACCAGUGGCGAAGGCGGCUCACUGGAGCUGGUAUUGACGCUGAGGUGCGAAAGCGUGGGGAGCAAACAGG
This 254-nucleotide ribosomal RNA is filed under the name uncultured bacterium. RNAcentral's name for it is "partial 16S ribosomal RNA". It matches the Rfam family "Bacterial small subunit ribosomal RNA", at positions 524 to 776 of the family's 1533-position model. The record is from RNAcentral.